Molecule: transfer RNA, 68 nt
Filed under: Marmota monax (woodchuck)
Lineage: Eukaryota; Metazoa; Chordata; Mammalia; Rodentia; Sciuridae
Description: tRNA.Thr
Rfam family: tRNA (bases 5-65)
About the family: Transfer RNA (tRNA) molecules are approximately 80 nucleotides in length. Their secondary structure includes four short double-helical elements and three loops (D, anti-codon, and T loops). Further hydrogen bonds mediate the characteristic L-shaped molecular structure. tRNAs have two regions of fundamental functional importance: the anti-codon, which is responsible for specific mRNA codon recognition, and the 3' end, to which the tRNAs corresponding amino acid is attached (by aminoacyl-tRNA synthetases). tRNAs cope with the degeneracy of the genetic code in two manners: having more than one tRNA (with a specific anti-codon) for a particular amino acid; and 'wobble' base-pairing, i.e. permitting non-standard base-pairing at the 3rd anti-codon position.
Source: RNAcentral
GGAUUGUGGCUCAGAGGUAGAGCACUUGCCUAGUAUGCAUGAGACACUGGGUUUGAUCCUCAGCACCA